AGAGUUUGAUCCUGGCUCAGAAUCAACGCUGGCGGCGUGCCUCAGACAUGCAAGUCGAAUGAUUAAACUCGCCUUCGGGUGAGAUAUAAAGUGGCGCACGGGUGAGUAACACGUAGGUAAUCUGCCUUUGAGUGGGGAAUAACGUUCGGAAACGAACGCUAAUACCGCAUAAUGCAGCGGCACCGCAAGGUGAAUGGUUGUUAAAGGAGCAAUCCGCUUAAAGAGGAGCCUGCGGCAGAUUAGGUAGUUGGUAAGGUAAUGGCUUACCAAGCCUGCGAUCUGUAACCGACCUGAGAGGGUGGUCGGUCACACUGACACUGAAUAACGGGUCAGACUCCUACGGGAGGCAGCAGUCGGGAAUUUUGGGCAAUGGGCGAAAGCCUGACCCAGCAACGCCGCGUGAAGGAUGAAGUAUUUCGGUAUGUAAACUUCGAAAGAAUGGGAAGAAUCAAUGACGGUACCAUUUAUAAGGUCCGGCUAACUACGUGCCAGCAGCCGCGGUAAUACGUAGGGACCAAGCGUUGUUCGGAUUUACUGGGCGUAAAGGGCGCGUAGGCGGCGUGUUAAGUCAGCUGUGAAAUCUCCGAGCUUAACUCGGAACGGUCAGCUGAUACUGAUGUGCUAGAGUGCAGAAGGGGCAAUCGGAAUUCUUGGUGUAGCGGUGAAAUGCGUAGAUAUCAAGAGGAACACCUGAGGUGAAGACGGGUUGCUGGGCUGACACUGACGCUGAGGCGCGAAAGCUAGGGUAGCAAACGGGAUUAGAUACCCCCGUAGUCC
RNAcentral lists this ribosomal RNA (777 nucleotides) under uncultured bacterium. RNAcentral's name for it is "bacterial SSU rRNA". It matches the Rfam family "Bacterial small subunit ribosomal RNA", at positions 8 to 796 of the family's 1533-position model. The record is from RNAcentral.